CAGUAAUCUAUUGAUUAAAAAUUUGUCGAAGCCAGCUAAAGACAUGAUUGUAUAGCAGCGUAGAAUUGAUCCUCUUCACACCUCCCCUAAAAAUAAAUUGAAAAGAAGAAAGACAAAUGAAGAAAGAAUACUCGAAAAUGACUUCCAGCAUACAAGCCGACAAGUCACAGAAUAAACAAUUCCACAUUUCAAAUAGGUAAUAGGAAGAUGUUGGAACCUUUUUGAAAUCUAAUUCUCUUAAUGCAACACUAAAAACAGAUACCGGCUUCCAGAUAUACACUAUUACCUGUAUUCCUACAUACAGCACAAGAGAGUUGAUCAAUGGUACAUUGUAACAGGCAGCAGCCCCCACUGCAUCAAUUCUGUGGCAGCACUAAUAACUAGACCUGGCCAUGGGUUGGUUUCAGGCCAGAACUGUUGGUUCAGCCAGCUUGAUGGUUCAGACUGGUUCCAAUUCAAAAUUAUUUUGGUUCAAAGAGUUUUCGAUCCGGUUCACGGUUCGGCCUAGUUCUAAUGUGAAAAAUUAAAG
This 529-nucleotide unclassified non-coding RNA is filed under the name Hevea brasiliensis (rubber tree). The record is from RNAcentral. Lineage: Eukaryota; Viridiplantae; Streptophyta; Magnoliopsida; Malpighiales; Euphorbiaceae.